This is a long non-coding RNA of Argentina anserina (silverweed cinquefoil), 1309 nucleotides long. RefSeq lists it as uncharacterized. Lineage: Eukaryota; Viridiplantae; Streptophyta; Magnoliopsida; Rosales; Rosaceae. The transcript is spliced from 3 exons. The record is from RefSeq and is a predicted model, not a curated record.
CUUCACCCAAAUUCCACCAAAUAUCUCCCGACGGUUGUGCCCGCCAUGUCCUCCGAGUCCAGCUCCGCCGACGAAGCCUCCGACCUAAAACUAAACCCGAUCAAUAAAUUCUCGGAGACGCCGAUGGCCAGGAAAAUAAUGUCGUCUACGAAGCGCCGCACACAACUACAGUGAGAUCAAGAAUGAAGACAACGCAGCUGCGCUGACCACUUCGGUUCCCUCUUUGUUAGGCUGCGGCGGAGGAAUUGAGCAAUGACAUCGGGUGCGAUGAAGGAGGAGAAGGUGGUGGUGUUAUCACGGACGAAUUCGGAGGUGGAAUAUUCUCCGGCAACCGGAAUAUUCGCAUUUCCUGGUGUUUUGUUCAGUUUCGGAGAAUCAGAGAGGUUCGGUUGGUGGUGAAAUGAGAGCUGAAGGAAGACGAUGAUGAAGAAGACGAAGGUAAAUGUAAGCAAGUAUAAGGGUAAGCCAAAAGCACCAUUCUCAAGUAUAGAAUGGUUGAUCAGGCAUAGGUGGACGGAUCGGUACGAAGCUCAUCUCUGGGAUAAGAGUACCUGCAACCAGAAUAAGAAGGGAAAGCCAAGUCUCUCUCUCUCUCUCUGCUAUAUAAAUUUAUUUUUUCAUGUUAUUUUUGUGUAUGUCUCUGGAUCUGUGAAUUGAUCUAUAGUUGCUAAUUGUGUUUAACUUGGGUAAGUUAGUGGCUUCAGUUCUCUAAAGUACCUUAUGGAGCUUGCUAUUAUUGUGCACAUAUAUGUCGAGUUGAUCCUUGAAUAACAUAUGUAAUUUGCAUGGGCAUAGAGGCUGCAACCAGAGCUUAUGAUCUUUCUGCCUUGAAAUAUUGGGGCCCCAACACUCUGACUAAUUCCCCAGUGAGAUUAUUGACCUUGAUUUAAUGGAUUUGUUGCAUUGUUUUUUAUUCACAUGAAAGCAUAUACAUGUUCAAGCACUUCGGUUCAUUUUACCUUUAUCUUAAGGAUGAUAUACUCCCUGGAAAGAGAAUAAAUCAGUGUUUCUUAAAUCAGGGCCUCAGUUUCAUUUUUUCUCAAGAUUUGAAAAUGCAUCACAUAUUUGCAUACUUGUGGUCAACUCUGAAGACUUUUCAAAGUAUUCUUAUUGUAAUUAAAUUUAUUAAUUUCAGAAUGUUUUCUUAUCAUUUUCUCAAUUGCACUCGUUUUAUUACGCUUUAGGUUACUGAUUACACAAGACUUUGAAUUCAUCCUACGAGCUUACAUUAUUUAUAGUAUGUAUUUGUUAAUGUUGUGAUAGCACUCGGUUUAGUACGCCGUAUUCCUUAUGGAUGAGAUACGCUGUA